ACGGGAGGCAGCAGUGGGGAAUAUUGCACAAUGGGCGAAAGCCUGAUGCAGCGACGCCGCGUGAGUGAAGAAGUAUUUCGGUAUGUAAAGCUCUAUCAGCAGGGAAGAAAAUGACGGUACCUGACUAAGAAGCCCCGGCUAACUACGUGCCAGCAGCCGCGGUAAUACGUAGGGGGCAAGCGUUAUCCGGAUUUACUGGGUGUAAAGGGAGCGUGGACGGCAAGGCAAGUCUGAUGUGAAAACCCGGGGCUCAACCUCGGGACUGCAUUGGAAACUGUCUAGCUAGAGUGCGGGAGAGGUAAGUGGAAUUCCUAGUGUAGCGGUGAAAUGCGUAGAUAUUAGGAGGAACACCAGUGGCGAAGGCGGCUUACUGGACUGUAACUGACGUUGAGGCUCGAAAGCGUGGGGAGCAAACAGGAUUAGAUACCCUGGUA
Molecule: ribosomal RNA, 434 nt
Filed under: uncultured Clostridium sp.
Lineage: Bacteria; Bacillati; Bacillota; Clostridia; Eubacteriales; Clostridiaceae
Description: partial 16S ribosomal RNA
Rfam family: Bacterial small subunit ribosomal RNA
Source: RNAcentral